GCUAGCUGCUGCGUCUGGCACUCUGGUGCGUGCUCUCCGUCUGAGAAUGGAGCUGAACCACACGAGCUGCUCAUGCGAGGCUCUGGCUGUUUCACGUGUUCUAAUUAUCUGGAUUAUCCCACCUACUGCCUGGGAGCUCAAGCAUGGCUCGUCUGAAGAAAACCUCAGAGAACAACAGUCAAACCCACAAGGACACCACGGCCAGAGCGGCUGGGAGCUGUGCAGACCUGAAGAGACAAUGUGAGGGCUGCAGGACAGGGCCAUGCCAGAAGAUCUUCAGAGGGGAUUGAGGCCGGACACUCAACA
This is a long non-coding RNA of Oxyura jamaicensis (ruddy duck), 306 nucleotides long. RefSeq lists it as uncharacterized. The record is from RefSeq and is a predicted model, not a curated record. The transcript is spliced from 3 exons. Lineage: Eukaryota; Metazoa; Chordata; Aves; Anseriformes; Anatidae.